CCUGGUUGAUCCUGCCAGUAGUCAUAUGCUUUUCUCAAAGAUUAAUCCAUGCAUUUGUAAGUAUGAACAAAUUCAGACUGUGAAACUGUGAAUGGCACAUUAAAUCAUUUAUAGUUUGUUUGAUGGUAUCUACUACUCGGAUAACCGUAGUAAUUCUAUAUCUAAUAUGUGCAACAAACCCUGACUUCUAAAAGGGAUGCAUUUAUUAGAUAAAAGGUUGAUGCAGGCUCCGCCCAUUUCUGCGAUGAUUCAUGAUAAGUCAACGGAUCAUACAACCAUCGUUCCUACCAUGGUGGUGAUGGGUGAUGAAGAAUUAGAGUUUGAUUUUGGAGAGAGAUCCUGAGAAAUAGCUACCACAGCAAGGAAGGCAGUAGGUGCAUAAAUUUCCCAAUCCUGACAUAGGGAGGUAGUGACAAUAAAUAACAAUACCAGGAUCAAUGAGUCUGGUAAUUGGAAUGAGUACAAUCUAAAUCCCUUAACGAGGAUCCAUUGGAGGGAGAGUCUGGUGCCAGCAGCCAUGGUAAUUCCAGCUCCAAUAGCGUAUAUUUAAGUUGGUACAGUUAAAAAGCUCGAAGUUUGACUUUAGGAUUGGCCGGCCGGUCCACCUAUGGUGUGCAUUGUUCAUCUCAUCCCUUCUGUCGGCGAUGCACUCCUGGCCUUAACUGGCCAGGUCGUGCAUCCGACAAUGUUAAUUUAAAGAAAUUAGAGUGCUUAAGGCAAGCCUACGCUCUGUAUACAUUAGCAUGGGAUAACAUUAUAGGAUUUUGGUCCUAUUACGUUGGCCUUUGGAAUCGGAUUAAUGACUAACAGGGAUAGUCGGGGUCAUUUGUAUUUCAUAGUCAGAGGUGAAAUUAUUGGAUUUAUGAAAUACUAAAAACUAUGAAAGUAUUUUCCAAGGAUGUUUACAUUAAUCAAGAAUGAAAGUUGGGUGCUCGAAGGCGAUCAAAUACCAUCCUAGUCUCAAUUAUAAACGAUGCCGACCAGGGAUCGGAGGAUGUUGCUUUUAGGACUCCGCUGGAACCUUAUGAGAAAUCAAAGUUUUUGGGUUCCGAGGGGAGUAUGGUCACAAGCCUGAAACUUAAAAUAAUUGAUGGAAAGGCACCACCAGGAGAGGAGCCUGCGGCUUAAUUUGACUCAACACGGGGAAACAUACCAGGUCCAGACAUAGUAAGGAUUGACAGACUGAGAGCUCUUUGUUGAUUCCAUGGGUGGUGGUCCAUGGCCGUUCUUAGUUGGUGAAGCGAUUUUUUUGGUUAAUUCUGUUCAUGAACGUGACCACAGCCUACUAACUAUCUAUGCGGAGGUAUCCCUUUGGGGCCAUCUUCUUAGAGGGACUACAGCCUUUUAGGCCACGAAAGUUUGAGGAAAUAACAAGUCUGUGAUGCCCUUAGAUGUUCUGGGCCGCACGCGCACUACACUGAUGUAUUCAAUGAGUUUAUAGCUUUUUCUGACAGUCCCGGGUAAUCUUUGUAAUUUCAUAGUGAUGGGGAUAGAUCAUUGCAAUUGUUAGUCUUCAACGAGGAAUUCCUAGUAAGCGCGAGUCAUCAGCUCGCGUUGACUAUGUCCCUGCCCUUUGUACACACCGCCCGUGGCACUGUGGCACUAUGGCAGCAAGGAACCACUGUGCCAAAAUCAAAAGAGGAUAAAACUACGUUCGAUCAUCCUAAUAGUUUCCUGACGUUCAUCCAUCUACCUCACCGUUGCAUGCUCAUUU
This 1714-nucleotide ribosomal RNA is filed under the name Capsicum chinense (habanero). Its description in RNAcentral is "SSU rRNA". It matches the Rfam family "Eukaryotic small subunit ribosomal RNA". The record is from RNAcentral. Lineage: Eukaryota; Viridiplantae; Streptophyta; Magnoliopsida; Solanales; Solanaceae.